AUGUCCGCCGACCGUCGAAACACGCCCUCUCCCUUGCAUGACGGGAUCGGGCUGGAAGGACAGCCACGGCCGCCACUGGCCGUCCUGCCGCAAUCUGAAGCAGAGCUGUCGUCGAGAAAGUCGGGAGUGGCCAUGCCGGAAUCUCACACCGUCGCCUGGAACGACGACCAUGGUGGUUCUACCUCUGGCUUGCACCAUGUAAACCUCGUUGAUGACAACAGUCGCUGCUUCAAAUUGUACCGUCCGUCGUAUACGAUGUCAGAAGCCACGACAUGCACCAUGGACUUGCCGCCGCCACAAGUCAUGUCAGGAGGAGGCCAGCAAGAUGACGCAGUUACGGAUGGUCGUGGAGAAAAUGGAGAGCAAACAAUCCAGGUUCCUGAAGUUGGGAAAACGUUUGAGUCAGAGAAAGACGCCUAUGACAUGUAUAACACAUAUGCUGGCAAAGUUGGAUUUAGUAUUAGAAAGAACCAGACAAAGCAUCGACAUGAUGGUACUAUAUAUCAAAAAAGAAUUGUUUGCAGUAACCAAGGCCAUCGAGAAACCGAGUCGUCGAAGGACGCAACAAGGACGGAUUGCAAUGCCCGUAUUCAGUUCAGUGUUAGCAGAGAGGGGAUUUGGACGGUGCAAAAGGUUGUAGCCGAUCAUAAUCAUUAUCUUGCUAGUCCCAAUAAGGUGCACAAACUGAGGUCCCAACGACGUGUUAUAGAAGCAGACAGACAUCUAAUUGGCCAGAUACGGGAAGCCGGAAUGAAGCCAUCCUAG
This 765-nucleotide ribosomal RNA is filed under the name Triticum aestivum (bread wheat). RNAcentral's name for it is "partial small subunit ribosomal RNA". The record is from RNAcentral. Lineage: Eukaryota; Viridiplantae; Streptophyta; Magnoliopsida; Poales; Poaceae.